UGGGGAAUAUUGGACAAUGGGCGACAGCCUGAUCCAGCCAUGCCGCGUGUGUGAAGAAGGCCUUAUGGUUGUAAAGCACUUUAAGUUGGGAGGAAGGGCAGUAAGCGAAUACCUUGCUGUUUUGACGUUACCGACAGAAUAAGCACCGGCUAACUCUGUGCCAGCAGCCGCGGUAAUACAGAGGGUGCAAGCGUUAAUCGGAAUUACUGGGCGUAAAGCGCGCGUAGGUGGUUCGUUAAGUUGAAUGUGAAAGCCCCGGGCUCAACCUGGGAACUGCAUCCAAAACUGGCGAGCUAGAGUAGGGCAGAGGGUGGUGGAAUUUCCUGUGUAGCGGUGAAAUGCGUAGAUAUAGGAAGGAACACCAGUGGCGAAGGCGACCACCUGGGCUCAUACUGACACUGAGGUGCGAAAGCGUGGGGAGCAAACAGG
Molecule: ribosomal RNA, 429 nt
Filed under: Pseudomonadota bacterium
Lineage: Bacteria; Pseudomonadati; Pseudomonadota
Description: Proteobacteria bacterium partial 16S ribosomal RNA
Rfam family: Bacterial small subunit ribosomal RNA
Source: RNAcentral